AAAAUCAGGGCAGGGCUACAGGUGAUCUGGUGAACUGGACUUGGUGAAUGGUGUGGAAGGGACUUUGGGAGAGACCUGUGCCCAUGAUAAAAGGGAAGAUGAAGGUGUUCCUUUGAGUUUGCAUGUGUGGGGCCUUUUUGACAUGGUUGACUUGUCUGUGCUCCUUCCUGUGACUUGACAUCAAAAUUAGGAACAGCAAGCUCUACCAAAGCAAGGUCUCCUCUGCUUCCUCAGACUGCCGACCAGUGCUGAGAACAGGGACACUGAAUAUCUGUGAGCUGAGCGCAUCCAGCCAUCAACUGAGUCACUCACUGAAGAACGCUACAUUCUGGGCAUAUCUUCCAUGACAGUCCAGCAGGGUAGCUGUUGGAAAUCCAAACAUGUCCACUCCUGCUUACGACCUCAGUCACCACCUCUUCAUAUGAUUCUUCCAUGGGCUGUUCCUGAGCACCUGAGGGAGAAAAACAAACAGAAACAAACAGGAAAGGGCAGAAUAAUUGAUACGUGAGAAGGAAAAAGUCAACAGUUGUUGAGACAUAAGUGAAUGUAAGAAACCUAGAUUGCUUGACAUAAUGUCAGUUACUAAAAUGUCACUGCAAAAUGGGCCCAAAGGUACCAGGACCACACACAAAUGAGUCUAGGAGGAAGCAGGAUGUGGGAAAGCAGAGAACACAUAAACAUAUAUCUCUUCCUGCCAAUCCCAAGUUAAUAGUCACUCCUGUUUACACUUUGGUCUUGGCAUGUAAUUGGGAUCUUCCAUUUUGGUUCCCCACCUAACCACCUACUACUUUCUUCCCUCCAAGCCCCAGAGGAAUUCAGAAUCUAAGAAAACAACAUUUCAGCCUUCACGAUUGGUUGGAACCAAUCAGCUCUCCAGUUAUCUGUAGUUACAAAGACUUAACAAGAGAGUCCAUUUGUUACCACUGAACAAUUCUUAGGAGGCUCCAGACCCAGACUCGCCUUUCUCUUGCUCUUGAAGAUACAAGAAUACCAGUUCUGACCAAGUGUAAACACUUGUCAAUUCUUGGAAAAGAAAGACCUACUCUGGACUCCAAGCCCAAGGCACUCCAACUAGGCUGGAGUACAGUGACUCAAUCAUAGCUUGCUGUGACUUUGAACUCCUGGACUCAACGGAUCCUCCCACUUCAGCCUCCCAAAUAGCUAGGACUACAGGUAAGCACCACCAAGCCUGGCUAAUUUUUAAAAAUUAUUUUAACUUUUUUUUGUAGAGAUGGGUCUCAUUAUCCUGCCCAGGCUGGUCUCCAACUCUUGGCCUGAAGUGACCCUCCUGCCUCGGCCUCCCAAGACAUGUAGGCAUGAGCCACUACACCUGGCCCACAUGAUCUAUUUUUUUAAAAAAAUAUUUCUUCUUACUUCAGGAUCCUAAUUACUGAAUUCUUACACUUUUAAGAAGUGCAGUGGUUCAAUGCAUACUCCUUGUUUCCCUCUAAUUUGUCCUAUCAAAAUGCUGGCCUUCUGAUUUAAUGAAAUAAUAGUAUGAUGCUACCAUUCUUUGUUUUGUCAACCUAAGCACCUGGUUCUUCUUGACAACUGCACAUUCUGCUACAAGCUGUGAUGACCAGGAGAAUCAUUUAAAUUUUUAUUUGGAGGACUCACUUCCAACUUGGAACACAAGCUGCAAAGGAAUUCCCUACCAGCAUGCCAGCACAUCAUUUGGAAGUUCAAGCAUCUGACUGAGGCAUGUUUAUGGGAGUCUGGCGAGGAAGACUCCGGUUUGCAGAACACCUCCAAUGUAGGCAGAGCACCAAUCUAAGCCUGCAGAGACUAGGGCUCCUGGCCAGGAUCCGUGAGUCGGCUUCUUGAAGUGAAAGACAGAACUCUCUGCUCUUCAGGUUCUAUCAGUGCAAAGAGGGCCCACUAAGACCCACUCUGCAGGGCUGUUGAGGAAAGCCCCAUCUGACAGGCACCCGACAAAGCUCCUCACACUCCGUAAAUGCCAACCAUCAUGAAUGUGGCUAUGAUUAAAUUGUGAUGAGGACUGUGACCCACAAGACUGGAAAACCAGUUUGGCACCUUGAUGCGGAUGUUUUCAAGGACUGGGUUA
Long non-coding RNA from Gorilla gorilla gorilla (western lowland gorilla), 2065 nucleotides. RefSeq lists it as uncharacterized. The transcript has 5 exons. The record is from RefSeq and is a predicted model, not a curated record. NCBI's taxonomy places the organism in Eukaryota, Metazoa, Chordata, Mammalia, Primates, Hominidae.